Molecule: ribosomal RNA, 208 nt
Filed under: uncultured Atopostipes sp.
Lineage: Bacteria; Bacillati; Bacillota; Bacilli; Lactobacillales; Carnobacteriaceae
Description: partial 16S ribosomal RNA
Rfam family: Bacterial small subunit ribosomal RNA
Source: RNAcentral
AGCGCAGGCGGUUGGAAUAGUCUGAUGUGAAAGCCCACGGCUUAACCGUGGAAGGUCAUUGGAAACUGUCCAACUUGAAUACAGAAGAGGUAAGUGGAAUUCCAAGUGUAGCGGUGAAAUGCCGUAGAUAUUUGGAGGAACACCAGUGGCGAAGGCGACUUACUGGUCUGUAAUUGACGCUGAGGCUCGAAAGCGUGGGUAGCAAACA